GACGAACGCUGGCGGCGUGCUUAACACAUGCAAGUCGAACGGAAAGGCCCUGCUUUUGUGGGGUGCUCGAGUGGCGAACGGGUGAGUAACACGUGAGUAACCUGCCCUUGACUUUGGGAUAACUUCAGGAAACUGGGGCUAAUACCGGAUAGGAGCUCCUGCUGCAUGGUGGGGGUUGGAAAGUUUCGGCGGUUGGGGAUGGACUCGCCGCUUAUCAGCUUGUUGGUGGGGUAGUGGCUUACCAAGGCUUUGACGGGUAGCCGGCCUGAGAGGGUGACCGGCCACAUUGGGACUGAGAUACGGCCCAGACUCCUACGGGAGGCAGCAGUGGGGAAUAUUGCACAAUGGGCGGAAGCCUGAUGCAGCAAAGCCGCGUGCGGGAUGACAGCCUUCGGGUUGUAAACCGCUUUCGCCUGUGACGAAGCGUGAGUGACGGUAAUGGGUAAAGAAGCACCGGCUAACUACGUG
RNAcentral lists this ribosomal RNA (468 nucleotides) under uncultured bacterium. Its description in RNAcentral is "partial 16S ribosomal RNA". It matches the Rfam family "Bacterial small subunit ribosomal RNA", at positions 28 to 507 of the family's 1533-position model. The record is from RNAcentral.